Molecule: long non-coding RNA, 1955 nt
Organism: Cyprinus carpio carpio
Lineage: Eukaryota; Metazoa; Chordata; Actinopteri; Cypriniformes; Cyprinidae
Source: Ensembl
CGGGAGCGAGUUCAGCUUCCUGACAGCCUGGUGGAUGAAGCUGUCCUUCAGUCUGCUGGUCCUGGCCUGGAGACUUUGCAGUCUCCUCCCUGAUGGCAGCAGACUGAAGAAGCUGUGUGACAGGUGAGUGGGAUCACCUGCAAUGCAGAGGGCUUUUCGAGUGAGACGGGUGGGAGGGAGGGAGGGGAGAGAGACACCAACGAUCUUCUCAGCUGCUCUCACUAUGCGUUGCAGAGUCUUCCGGCAGGACGCGUUGCAGGCGCCAUACCACACAGUGAUGCAGCUGGUCAGAAUGCUCUCGAUGGUGCCUCUGUAGAAGGUGUACAUGAUGGGGGGGUGGGGCUCUGGCUCUCCUCAGUUUGCGGAGGAAGUAGAGACACUGCUGUGAUUUCUUGGCCAGUGCUGCAGUGUUGUCGGUCCAGGAGAGGUCCUCUGUGAUGUGCACACCCAGGAACUUGGUGCUGCUCACUCUCUCCACAGUCGCACCGUUGAUGGUCAGAGGAACAUGCUGAGUGUGCGCUCUCCUGAAGUCAACAACAAUCUCCUUCGUCUUCUCCACGUUCAGAGAGAGAUUGUUGUCACUGCACCACCCGGCCAGGCGGCUCACCUCGCUCCUGUAGUUUGUCUCAUCUCUGUUGCUAAUGAGACCCACCACAGUCGUGUCAUCCGCAAACUUAAUGAAGAGGUUGGAGUUGUGUGACGGUGUGCAGUCGUGGGUCAGCAGAGUGAAGAGGAGGGGGCUCAGCACACAUCCUUGGGGGGCCCCAGUGUUCAGUGUGAUGGUGCUGGAUGUGUUGCUGCCGACACGUACUGCCUGAGGUCUUCCAGUCAGAAAGUCCAACAGCCAGUUGCACAGCGAAGUGUUGAGCCCCAGCUCGACCAGUGAGUUCUGCUGCACAGUCUCUCAGUACACGCCCAGGAAUGUUGUCAGGACCCGGAGCUUUGCGUACAUUGAUCCUGCUGAAGGAUCUCCUCACGCUGUCCGGGGUCAGCGUCAUCACCUGGUCACUGGGAGGAGGUGGAGUCUUCUGUGCAGUGGAGCUGUUUUGUGCCUCAAAGCGAGCGAAGAAGGUGUUCAGCUCGUUCAGCAGAGAGAUGUUGCUGUCACAGGUCUGCUGUGGGGGCUUGUAGUCCGUAAUGGUCUGUAUCCCCUGCCACAGGCUCCGAGUGUCUCUGCUGUCACUGAAUUGAUGGGCUAUCCUCCUGGAGUACUGUCUCUUAGCCUCUCUGAUGCCGCGGGAUAGGUUGGCCCUGGCUGUUCUCAGGCCCCCCUCGUCUCCAGCUCUGAAGGCAGCGUUCCGCGUCUCCAGGAGUCUGUAGACUUCCCCUGUCAUCCACGGCUUCUGGUUGGCCCGGACAGUAAUGGUUUUUGUGACUGUUACAUCCUCAAUGCACUUGGUGAUGUAGGCAGUGACAGUCUCUGAGUACUCCUGGAGGUCAGUGGAGUUAUUGUAAGUGGCAGCCUGCUUAAACAUAUUCCAGUCAGUUGUAUCAAAGCAGUCCUGAAGAGCGUCAGACGACCCUUCUGGCCACACUUGAAUCUGUUUCUGAACUGGUUUACCGACUUUAACAAUUAAUGUGUUGGUGUAUUUUUGGAAACACACUCUUUAAGUCAGCAUGGUUGAAAUCCCCAGCUAUGAUGAGAAAAGCAUCGGGGUGUGCUGUCUGCUGCUCACUGAUGUGCUGGUGCAGUUCAUUUAGUGCAUCGUUCCUGUUGCUGUUGUUGUUGUUCGGGGGAAUGUAAACCGAAACGAGCAGUAUGGCAGUAUAUUCCCUCGGCAGAUAGAACGGCCGGCACUUAAUAAUCAUAAACUCCACCAGGGUUGAGCAGUGUUUGCAGAUCACCUCCUCGCUUACCCCUCUUCUGCUUCCUCUCACGCCGCUUGUGGCGCCUCCGCUGUGGGCGAGAUGCAGUAGUGGGGGUCGGUGAUGAUGUAGGCCUCCAGAGUAGUCCG